AGCUGAACAUCCUCCUCUACACGACCUGAUAGAGACCCGCAGGAGAGCGAAAAUAAUAAAUAAUUUUAAUAAAAUAAUAAAUUGGAGCUGCGGAUUAGCAGAAAGAGAGAGAGAGAGAGGGAGGCUGGAGCGGCAUCUCGGGGAGAUUCUGCUGCUGCUGCUGCACGUUUGGGUAGCAAAACAUGCUGCUGCUGCCUGAUGCUGCUACCACUGGACUCAGGAGACAUGUGACAGCUCUCCUCCUUCUGGAAAUUUCCUCUCACUUACAGUGAGCGGGCUGGGAGUUGGUUUCUGUCUUUGGUUAUCUAGCUGUAUGAGUACAUUCACAUGUCAUAAAGCUAGAUAACCGAAAGUAGAACUGAUUCUACAAAUCUGCUUACUCUUGGUGGGUUCUGGUGGAGAAUCUGGAGCAUCCUUCUUCAAAGCUGCUGGUGCUGAAGAAACCAGACACCUCUAGACAGAGUGCUCUGACUGUCCGCAACAUGGCGUAAUGAAGUAACAUGACAGGAGCACAGGCAGCAUGCUGUAGAGAUGGAGGGAGAGAACAGAGGGGCACAGGCAGGGAAGAUGCCUUCGUCUGUGACCGCCGUCCUUCUCCUCAUGCCUGGAAAGCCCUGGUGCCAUCUGCGGCCCUCUGGGGGACUGGGGAAGCCGUGCCCGUGCCACUGGCGACAAAGCCCCCUGUCAGCUCCCUGGAGCCAGGCACAUCGAGGGAGGGAGGGAGGCCAUCUUGAGGGAAAUCUCAGUGAAACAGCUAAGAUGGCUGGACUGGCACACGAGACAAGGCUGAUCAACUAAUCAUACACUCCGGACACACUCCUGUACACCUGCAGCAGAAAAGACUGGAAGACGUUUGAGAGAUGUCUGCUCUGCAAAGAAGACAUAUAUUAUUAAAGAGUAGAUUUUUUCAUAUUGUAUGAUCUCUCAUUUGGGAGCUGUUUUGGUUCUUAAAAUUGUCAUUGUUUUGCCUUGCCUGUAGCACAAAUAAAUGUUGUAAAUGGGACAUUUACUGUUAUACUGUAAGUCUGAAUCUACGUACUGGACUGCAAUAUUGGUGUAUAAAAAAAUGUAACAUAAUCUAACUGCACAGCAUUUUAAUUGUUCUGACUAAAGUUCUGUGAAUAAAUGUUAUUUAUUAUUAA
Astyanax mexicanus (Mexican tetra) is the source of this 1142-nucleotide long non-coding RNA. RefSeq lists it as uncharacterized. Lineage: Eukaryota; Metazoa; Chordata; Actinopteri; Characiformes; Acestrorhamphidae. The transcript is spliced from 4 exons. The record is from RefSeq and is a predicted model, not a curated record.